Molecule: ribosomal RNA, 774 nt
Filed under: uncultured Neocallimastigales
Lineage: Eukaryota; Fungi; Neocallimastigomycota; Neocallimastigomycetes; Neocallimastigales
Description: partial large subunit ribosomal RNA
Rfam family: Eukaryotic large subunit ribosomal RNA
Source: RNAcentral
UCAGACGAUGCGUCAUGCAUAUCAAUAAGCGGAGGAAAAGAAACUAACAAGGAUUCCCCUAGUAACGGCGAGUGAAGCGGGAAGAGCUCAAAUUUGAAAUCUUAAAGGGUUUCCCUUUACGAAUUGUAGUUUAAAGAAGUGUUUUCUGUUGAGGUUUUGGUAAAAGUUCUUUGGAAUAGGACAUCAUAGAGGGUGAGAAUCCCGUAUUUGACCUUUACUUUCAACUUUGUGAUACACUUUCAAAGAGUCGGAUUGUUUGGGAAUGCAGUCCAAAAUGGGUGGUAAAUUUCAUCUAAAGCUAAAUAUUGGCGAGAGACCGAUAGCGAACAAGUACCGUGAGGGAAAGAUGAAAAGAACUUUGAAAAGAGAGUUAAACAGUACGUGAAAUUGUCAAAAGGGAAGCGUUUGACACCAGUGUUGUUUUUCUGAAAAUCAAUUAAAGAACUGUUUAUGCUAAGUUGUUUAGACUUUAUCAGCUAUCUGUUUAGUUUUGAGCUUUUCUUUAAUGCACUUUUCAGUUAACAAGUCAACAUCAAUUUCUUUUGCUGUAAAAAAGCUUGAGGAAGGUGGCUUGAGAUUCGUCUUAAGUGUUUAUAGCCUCUUGCCUAUGCAGUCGGAGAGAUUGAGGUCUGCAGCGUAGAUCCUUCGGGGCUAAAUGCAUUUGUGCUAAGUUAUAGCAUUUUAUAGACAACUUGUUGACUAUGAUUUGUCUUGUAGCUUACUCGCUUAUGUUAUUUUACCUACGCUUAGGAUGUUGAACUACUGAGACAUAGA